Molecule: ribosomal RNA, 465 nt
Filed under: uncultured bacterium
Lineage: Bacteria
Description: partial 16S ribosomal RNA
Rfam family: Bacterial small subunit ribosomal RNA
Source: RNAcentral
GACGAACGCUGGCGGCGUGCUUAACACAUGCAAGUCGAACGGAAAGGCCCUGCUUGCAGGGUACUCGAGUGGAGAACGGGUGAGUAACACGUGGGUGAUCUGCCCUGCACUUCGGGAUAAGCCUGGGAGACUGGGUCUAAUACCGGAUAGGAGCCAUUUUUAGUGUGAUGGUUGGAAAGUUUUUUCGGUGUAGGAUGAGCUCGCGGCCUAUCAGCUUGUUGGUGGGGUAAUGGCCUACCAAGGCGGCGACGGGUAGCCGGCCUGAGAGGGUGGACGGCCACAUUGGGACUGAGAUACGGCCCAGACUCCUACGGGAGGCAGCAGUGGGGAAUAUUGCACAAUGGGCGCAAGCCUGAUGCAGCGACGCCGCGUGGGGGAUGACGGCCUUCGGGUUGUAAACUCCUUUCGCUAGGGACGAAGCUUUUUGUGACGGUACCUAGAUAAGAAGCACCGGCUAACUACGUG